Molecule: ribosomal RNA, 638 nt
Filed under: uncultured bacterium
Lineage: Bacteria
Description: bacterial SSU rRNA
Rfam family: Bacterial small subunit ribosomal RNA
Source: RNAcentral
UGCUGGCGCUGACGAGUGGCGGACGGGUGAGUAACGCGUAGGAAUCUGCCUCAUAGUGGGGGACAACGUGGGGAAACCCACGCUAAUACCGCAUACGCCCUACGGGGGAAAGGAGGGGAUCUUCGGACCUUUCGCUAUGAGAUGAGCCUGCGUUAGAUUAGCUAGUUGGUAGGGUAAAGGCCUACCAAGGCGACGAUCUAUAGCUGGUCUGAGAGGACGAUCAGCCACACUGGGACUGAGACACGGCCCAGACUCCUACGGGAGGCAGCAGUGGGGAAUAUUGGACAAUGGGCGAAAGCCUGAUCCAGCAAUACCGCGUGUGUGAAGAAGGCCUUAGGGUUGUAAAGCACUUUCAAUUGGGAGGAAAACCUACCGGUCAAUACCCGGUAGCUUGACAUUACCUUUAGAAGAAGCACCGGCUAACUCCGUGCCAGCAGCCGCGGUAAUACGGAGGGUGCGAGCGUUAAUCGGAAUUACUGGGCGUAAAGCGUGCGUAGGCGGUUCGUUAAGUCAGAUGUGAAAGCCCUGGGCUCAACCUGGGAACUGCAUUUGAAACUGGCGGACUAGAGUUUAGUAGAGGGGAGUGGAAUUUCAGGUGUAGCGGUGAAAUGCGUAGAUAUCUGAAGGAACACCAGUGG